RNAcentral lists this ribosomal RNA (253 nucleotides) under uncultured bacterium. RNAcentral's name for it is "partial 16S ribosomal RNA". It matches the Rfam family "Bacterial small subunit ribosomal RNA", at positions 524 to 776 of the family's 1533-position model. The record is from RNAcentral.
UACGUAGGGAGCAAGCGUUGUCCGGAUUUAUUGGGCGUAAAGAGCUCGUAGGCGGUUUCGUAAGUCGGAUGUGAAAAAUCUGGGCUCAACCCAGUGGAGCACCCGAUACUGCGGUGACUGGAGUCCGGUAGGGGAGUGUGGAAUUCCUGGUGUAGCGGUGAAAUGCGCAGAUAUCAGGAGGAACACCAACAGCGAAGGCAGCACUCUGGGCCGGUACUGACGCUGAGGAGCGAAAGCAUGGGUAGCGAACAGG